UCCGGUUUCGCACCGGCAGUCUUCCUAGAGUCCCCGACUUUACUCGCUGGUAACUAGGAACGGGGGUUGCGCUCGUUGCGGGACUUAACCCAACACCUCACGGCACAAGCUGACGACAGCCAUGCAGCACCUCUACUACUGUCCCUUGCGGGAAGACGAUAUUUCUACCGUUGGUCAGUAGCGGUUCAAGCCCAGGUAAGGUUCUUCGCGUUGCGUCGAAUUGAACCACAUACUCCACCGCUUGUGCGGGCCCCCGUCAAUUCCUUUGAGUUUCAGUCUUGCGACCGUACUCCCCAGGCGGCGAACUUAACGCGUUAGCUUCGACACUGAUCUCCGAGUUGAGACCAACAUCCAGUUCGCAUCGUUUAGGGCGUGGACUAC
Molecule: unclassified non-coding RNA, 381 nt
Filed under: uncultured bacterium
Lineage: Bacteria
Description: contains 16S-23S intergenic spacer region
Source: RNAcentral